GGCUUCGUUUUGCGUGUUUGCCGCUUAUCCAAAACUUCAAUAUUGUUACCUGGAAACACGAAGUUAUUACUUAUUAAUACCGUAUUCCACAGAUAAUGGAAGCUGAAUGUGCUGUUAUUUUUUUUUUCGUCAAAAGUUGGCAGAAAAUGCGUAACACCUUACGUGUAGACAACCAUGGCAGAUGCGAAUCCUAAUGACUGUACCUGUUUCAUUUAUGAGUCAGCUUGUCAUUUCUUUGUCCAGCUAUUCGUCUAGUCAUCCAAAAUAGGGUGCGGUUCGACUAGAAUGAAAUCAUUCUGCUAUUAACAUCUACCUAUUUGGGUGGGGCAUUGCUUACAAUAAGACCAUUUCUGUCGAGACCAGCGAAUAAGACAGUAAAAAAAAAUACAAAUAAAAAAAAAA
This is a long non-coding RNA of Daphnia magna, 402 nucleotides long. RefSeq lists it as uncharacterized. Lineage: Eukaryota; Metazoa; Arthropoda; Branchiopoda; Diplostraca; Daphniidae. The record is from RefSeq and is a predicted model, not a curated record. The transcript has 2 exons.